AAUUUAAAACCGUGAGAGAAAAGUAGAAAAAGAAAGCAUGUGAUUCCAAGCUAUUUCGAGAGUUUUAAAGAGUUUUCGAGGUCAGUUCUCUACUGAUUUCGAGUCAGUGCCUAGGGAAGGUUCUGUCCAACUGAAGUUCAAUCAAAUGAAGAUCAGCUCAGAUGGGAAUCAAGUCAACGUGGCUAUAGAGAAAGAGAGAGAGAGAGAGAGAGAGAGAGAGAGA
Molecule: long non-coding RNA, 223 nt
Filed under: Brassica napus (rape)
Lineage: Eukaryota; Viridiplantae; Streptophyta; Magnoliopsida; Brassicales; Brassicaceae
Description: long non-coding RNA (BNAP_LNC025031)
Source: RNAcentral